GUGUCAGCCGCCGCGGUAAUACGUAGGGGGCAAGCGUUGUCCGGAUUUAUUGGGCGUAAAGAGCGUGUAGGCGGCCAAGCAGGUCAGCUGUGAAAACUCGAGGCUCAACCUCGAGACGUCGGUUGAAACCGCUUGGCUAGAGUCCGGAAGAGGAGAGUGGAAUUCCCGGUGUAGCGGUGAAAUGCGCAGAUAUCGGGAAGAACACCCGUGGCGAAGGCGGCUCUCUGGGACGGUACUGACGCUGAGACGCGAAAGCGUGGGGAGCGAACAGGAUUAGAUACCCCUGUAGUCC
RNAcentral lists this ribosomal RNA (292 nucleotides) under uncultured bacterium. Its description in RNAcentral is "partial 16S ribosomal RNA". It matches the Rfam family "Bacterial small subunit ribosomal RNA", at positions 505 to 796 of the family's 1533-position model. The record is from RNAcentral.